AGGACGAACGCUGGCGGCGUGCCUAACACAUGCAAGUCGAACGAGGUCCAUCCGGUAGCAAUACCGGAGAAGAUCAAGUGGCGAACGGGUGAGUAGCACGUGAGCAACCUGCCCCGAAGACCGGGACAACACCGGGAAACCGGUGCUAAUACCGGAUAUCCCCACCGAGUCGCAUGGCUUGGUGAGGAAAUGGAUUCCGCUUCGGGAGGGGCUCGCGGCCUAUCAGCUAGUUGGUGAGGUAACGGCUCACCAAGGCUUCGACGGGUAGCUGGUCUGAGAGGACGAUCAGCCACACUGGGACUGAGACACGGCCCAGACUCCUACGGGAGGCAGCAGUGGGGAAUCUUGCACAAUGGGCGAAAGCCUGAUGCAGCAACGCCGCGUGAGGGACGAAGGCUUUCUGAGUUGUAAACCUCUUUCAGCAGGGACGAUUGUGACGGUACCUGCAGAAGAACGCCCGGCAACUACGUGCCAGCAGCCGC
Molecule: ribosomal RNA, 482 nt
Filed under: uncultured bacterium
Lineage: Bacteria
Description: SSU rRNA
Rfam family: Bacterial small subunit ribosomal RNA
Source: RNAcentral